UCAAUCCUCUCAGAUUAAGCCAUGCAUGUGUAAGUGUAAAUAUACAACUUUGGACUGCGAAUGGCUCAUUAUAUCAGUUAUAGUUUAUUUGAUGAAGAGACUACUUGGAUAACCGUAGUAAUUCUAGGGCUAAUACAUGAUAAAGUCCUCUGGACUGGUGUGAUUAUUAAUGUGAAAAUAUAUGCUUCCUAUGAUAGAGAAAAUAACUCCUAUCUCUCUGUGCUUAAUGUAUGAUGAGUCUUUCUUCUGCUGCCCUAUCUUCUUUCGAUGGUGGUUAUGCUACUACCAUGGCAACAACUGGUAACGAAUAAUUUGGGUACUAUUUCGAAGAAGGAUCCUGAAAGAUUGCUACCACAUCCGAAGAAGGCAGCAGGCGCAUAAUCACCUCCUCCUGAGCGAGGAGGUGGCGACAAAAAUCACGAUGCGGGACUAUCCGUCUUGGAUUGAUUGAGACACUGACUACUCUUUCACUAUGCAUGGAGGCAGUCUGGUGCCCCGGCGCUGCAUUUCAACUCCAUAUAUAUAUUACGUGUGAAAAAAAACUCA
This 546-nucleotide ribosomal RNA is filed under the name Blastocystis sp. Its description in RNAcentral is "SSU rRNA". The stretch from base 7 to 414 matches the Rfam family "Eukaryotic small subunit ribosomal RNA", at positions 36 to 474 of the family's 1831-position model. The record is from RNAcentral. Lineage: Eukaryota; Bigyra; Opalinata; Blastocystidae.